AACGGCCGCGGUAUCCUAACCGUGCGAAGGUAGCGUAAUCACUUGUUCUUUAAAUGAGGACUAGUAUGAAUGGCACCACGAGGGUUAAGCUGUCUCCUUUUUCUAAUCAGUGAAACUAAUCUCCCCGUGAAGAAGCGGGGAUCAUAUUACAAGACGAGAAGACCCUAUGGAGCUUAAAACAAAUUAACACCUGCUUCUGCCUAAUUUACUUCAUGAACUAACGCACAAAGUAUAGCAUCACUGAUUAAUAGUUUUCGAUUGGGGUGAUCAUGGAGUAAAAAAUAGCCUCCACGACGAAAAGGAACACUUCCCUGAGCCAAAAGCUACAACUUUAAGCACUAAAAAAUUGACGCACCUUGACCCAAAUUUUUGAGCAACGAACCAAGUUACCCUAGGGAUAACAGCGCAAUCCACUUCAAGAGCCCCUAUCGACAAGUGGGUUUACGACCUCGAUGUUGGAUCAGGGUGUCCCAGUGGUGCAGCCGCUACUAAAGGUUCGUUUGUUCAACGAUUAAAACCCUACGUGAUCUGAGUUCAGACCGGAGAAAUCCAGGUCAGUUUCUAUCUAUAAAGGGCUUUUUCCAGUACGAAAGGACCGAAAAAGCAUGGCCAAUGACCAAUUAAGCCAUAUAAAUUACCAAUGUUUUCAACUUAAUUAGAAACAAACCUUCCACAAGCCUCAAAAAAAGAGAAGUUAACGUAGCAAAACCUGGCCCUGCAA
This 721-nucleotide ribosomal RNA is filed under the name Boana lanciformis. RNAcentral describes it as "partial 16S ribosomal RNA". It matches the Rfam family "Bacterial large subunit ribosomal RNA", at positions 1926 to 2925 of the family's 2925-position model. Lineage: Eukaryota; Metazoa; Chordata; Amphibia; Anura; Hylidae. The record is from RNAcentral.